GCCCGGGUAGCUCAGCUGGAUAGAGCAGCGCUUUCCUAAAGCGCAGGUCGCACGUUCGAAUCGUGUCCCGGGUG
This 74-nucleotide transfer RNA is filed under the name Planctomyces sp. RNAcentral describes it as "tRNA-Arg". It matches the Rfam family "tRNA". Rfam says of the family: Transfer RNA (tRNA) molecules are approximately 80 nucleotides in length. Their secondary structure includes four short double-helical elements and three loops (D, anti-codon, and T loops). Further hydrogen bonds mediate the characteristic L-shaped molecular structure. tRNAs have two regions of fundamental functional importance: the anti-codon, which is responsible for specific mRNA codon recognition, and the 3' end, to which the tRNAs corresponding amino acid is attached (by aminoacyl-tRNA synthetases). tRNAs cope with the degeneracy of the genetic code in two manners: having more than one tRNA (with a specific anti-codon) for a particular amino acid; and 'wobble' base-pairing, i.e. permitting non-standard base-pairing at the 3rd anti-codon position. Lineage: Bacteria; Pseudomonadati; Planctomycetota; Planctomycetia; Planctomycetales; Planctomycetaceae. RNAcentral also lists the same sequence under 7 other names. The record is from RNAcentral.